CUCUAACCUUACUGAUCCGGGCUUAAGAAUGAUGUUGCAAGCCGCACACGCAUCCGGCCUCUAGGAGUCAUCCACACGAGCCCACGAAUCUCGAUCAGAAGUCCUGCUUCAGGAAAUCAGUACAGUAUGCUAGUACUGCGCUGAUCCUUCUUUGAUGGUUGAUCAGGUGCCUCCUUCUUCUUGAUUUGGACUCUUCCAAAGAUGAAAAGUAGAAGGAGGAGUUUCAGAUCUGAGACACUCUCAGAAAACUCAAGAUGGAGGGAGGAAAGAUAUGAAAACAAAAACCCAAGAAGAAGAUCCUUUUCUUCUUCAC
Molecule: long non-coding RNA, 313 nt
Filed under: Elaeis guineensis (African oil palm)
Lineage: Eukaryota; Viridiplantae; Streptophyta; Magnoliopsida; Arecales; Arecaceae
Description: long non-coding RNA (EGUI_LNC059626)
Source: RNAcentral